Molecule: long non-coding RNA, 3452 nt
Organism: Lineus longissimus
Lineage: Eukaryota; Metazoa; Nemertea; Pilidiophora; Heteronemertea; Lineidae
Exons: 3
Source: RefSeq, a predicted model, not a curated record
UUGAAAUCGAUCACUUCAGGUACUAUUACUGUGCAUACCUAGCUAAAUUAGUGUCUAGUUUCGUCUCUGAUGACAUUUAUUUCGUAAAAAUCGCUGUUUUUUUCUAAAAAGGUGUUUUGUGGUCAUUUUGGCUGUUUAUUUCGAGGGUACGGUAGGAGGUCAUCGUUCACUCGAUAACUCUUUUUAAAAUGAAAUAAAAGCGUUUUAAGAUACAUGAUAUGAAUUGAUAUUAAUAUUCGUUAAGUGGGAUUGUCGGUGGACGUUCAUUGGUGAACAGUUGUGCUGGAAUUACGAAAAUAUAUCGAUAUCGUUGAGAGUUCAUUCAUUAGGGGCCUGCUCUCAAUUUUCCUUACAACGCCUCUAGCACUGGGCAAUUGCCACCAUCUUGAAAAGCAGUGCCGCGGAUGGCUAUCGCAUCGCCACUACGCAUGAGAACACGAUGGCUGCCCUGCGCUGCAUUGAUAGUUCGUAAUAAAUUCACAUAAAAACACACCAGAAGAUCUCCGAUUUUAUUUACAAAGAUCAUAUUUUGUUAUUUAUUGAUAAAACAAGCCAUUUUACCACAGCAGGUGACACAUAUUAGGCCUGAAUAAGACUUUAGAAUUUGAAGUGGUGGUGACGAUGCCGAUAUCCAAGAUGGCGGAAUUAUACCAGUGGUCAAAUCUCAUCUAUUUUGGGUAAUUGCAUCAUUAUUUCUUUUUGUGAUUGGUGAUUUGUAAAAUUGAGAAUGAUUGAAAAAUCAGUAUUUUUUCACCCAAAGGCAUGAGUGAACAUUUGAUAAGUUUAUUGUGAUUUAAUUGGUAAUUUGGUCGACAUUUUGACAAUUAUAUUUAGCAAUAUUUCGAUAAAUGCGGACCUGCUUCUUCCUCUUUUCGCAGUGACGGUGUUUCGAUAACUCAGUUAGACUUCGAGAUCUACAUUUUCGACAAAGGCCUGGUGUAAUAUUAUUACGUACUUGAUGAAGGUAAUAUUAAUUUCUUCAAAUUUGAAGCAUGACGUUAAUGGAGUACCAGCACAACUUCAUUGACUGCUACGUGGCGCUGGUGGAAACUAAGGUAUUGCAUCGCUCAUAUCACUUGAAAAAAACAUUUACCCUAGUUACGACCAAAGCUGCUUAGCAGAGGGCGAUACCUCAUCAGGAGCGCCACAAUCAUAUCAUUGGUGUGAAAGCAUUUGUAUGAAGUUUUUCAGUUCUCAAUGUGUUCGAAACCUUAAUUGUGAAUUUGUGCACUUCGAAUUCAAAUUUACGUCACUACGUUAGUUUGACAUCCAUUGAUGUCACGGUAAUUUCACUGUUAUGCUGUGCUGCUUUCAGUUUUAAUGACACGAAUGAGUACAAGUACAUUACAUUUUUCGACGAAGGCCUUCUGUAAUUUCAUACGCUUCUUACGGUUAGUAUUGAUUCAUAAUUUCUAGUAAAAAAGUUAAUUUUGAAAGUGAAAAAUAUGUUACAAUACAAUAGACCUGCAAAUACCAUAUACGCAAGUUUUGAACAAAUAUCACACAUAUUCCCCAGUUGACUUGUGAUGAUAUUGAUAAUGGUGGUGGUGGUGUUAUCAUGUACAUGGCUUCUAACGUAGUAAGUGUUUUCUUUUCAGCAACAUUCAAUAGAUUUAUUUACUGUAUUAUCAUUUCGACCAAGGCGAAUUCGACACUUCAAUUCAAUUACACAAGCACAAUCAAACUUAGUCAUUCCAGUCAGUUACUGAAGCACAGCGAAAACUGUCUGAAUUAGUGCUGCUGAUGGCAUGUAAUUACUCUACUACCACUACCAGUGACAGUCAAUGUCCAAAUAUUUUCAAGUGUGCGAAAUUAGUACUCGUCUACUUCUUAGUGUUAUUUGAAUGCAAUGUAUGUUAUAAAAAUAUUUUUUCAGCACUAUAUCAACAUUCUCAUUCCUGUCAGUUUCUGAAAAUCAGCUAAAGCAAUCGCUACCAAUGCAGCGGAUAACAGCAAUUCUUUUUGUUCCCAAUGCCCAUCCAUGACAAUAUAUUUCACGCAUGUGACAAUCAUGUAAUCAUCGUGUUUUUUGUGUUCUAUUCAUGCAAUAAAUAAAUUCAGUAUUUUCAAAUCAUUGGUGCUACAAAACUAUUCUCAUUAUAGAUUAUUCAUAUUUUAUAAAAUGCUGUCAUGUCAAAUUUUGUGUCCUAUAAAUCAUAAUGAAGUCGGCAUUUUAUAUACAACUUUUGUACUCCUCCUAAAUAAACAUACAAAUCUUGUUUUAUGUAAACUUUGUAUAUGUGACCCGUCACAGCAAAACCAGGCGCAUGUCGCUCUGAGCUUGGCAGGUUGAGACGGACUGUUCUAAUCUUUCAUUAGCGACACCAUUUCUUACCAGAGUGCCUCCUUCAUUCAUACAUCUUGUACUUUAACUCAAGAUACCCAUCUUUGAAUAUUUUUAGUAUACCAAGUACUACAAUGUCAAUGUAUUGAAGUCAUGUUCUUGUAGUGUUAUUGGCUUUCUAUUAUCUUGUCAAAAUACCACUUGGUUCUCGCAAAAUCUCAAUAAAAACAAAUGCUAUUGCAUGUAUUGCAUAUUCUAACAGCUAUCCACUGUAUCGAUUUAUCCAUCAUCUGUACUAUUUGUCACAAAAAUGUUAUAUUAUGUAAAUCAUAUUUCAUUACAUAAUGCACACUGCCAAUUACUGCUGAACCAUUCAUAUGUCAUUUAAAUAAAUAAUUUUCAACUUUUUAAAACCGUCUUAUAGUACUGUUCUUGUCACUUAGCUGAACCAAUUGCUCUAUAGCAUGAAAUUUCCAGAAAUGCCCCAGGGACUGAAAAGUGCUGUUUUAACAGAGAGGUGUCCUAAACUGAGAAGUCGAGUUGAAUGGAAACAACCAAUUUGGAACAAAAAACUACUGUCCUUAUUAAAGAGGUUGUCCUCAAUAGAAAGGUGUCCACAAAAAGUAGGUCCACUGUAUAUGAAAGUACAAACCCUGGUACAUGUAGUGACAUCAUCUACUCCUCGAUGUGGACACCUGCAAAUGCAGCGACAAUGUCACAUCAGUUAUUUAAUUCAUCGUCCUUUGUGCAGAUGGCACCACCCAUCAAACAUGUUGGUGACGAAUAGUGUCGCAGCAUUUCGUCACCGAGCUUUCACGAAAAUGCACUGUCAUUCAUUCAGCCAUAAGUGUAAGACUGUAGGAUUGUUUCCAACCAAAACAUGUUCGAAAUGUGUCAAGCAUUCGGAACACCCAAAGACUGAUUAGAGAAGUCAAAAUUGAAUGGAAACAACCAAUUUGGAACCAAAACUAGUGUCCUUAUUGGAAAGGUUGUCUUUAAUAGAGAGGUGUCUACUAACGGAGGUUCCACUGUAUAUAAUGUAGGAACCCUGGUUGUGACAUUGUCCACUCCUCCAGCUGCACACCACCAAAUCCACAACAAUGUCACACCAGUUAUUUAGUUCAUCAUGCUUAUGGUCAUUGUACUUUCAUCUUAUGUAAAAUGUAAC